Molecule: transfer RNA, 68 nt
Filed under: Arvicanthis niloticus (Nile rat)
Lineage: Eukaryota; Metazoa; Chordata; Mammalia; Rodentia; Muridae
Description: tRNA-Gly
Source: RNAcentral
ACCCCCUUAGUAUAAUCAAUAUAACUGACUUCCAAUCAGUAGAUUCUAAUAAACUUUAGAAGAGGGUA